This 228-nucleotide long non-coding RNA is filed under the name Phoenix dactylifera (date palm). Its description in RNAcentral is "long non-coding RNA (PDAC_LNC020359)". The record is from RNAcentral. Lineage: Eukaryota; Viridiplantae; Streptophyta; Magnoliopsida; Arecales; Arecaceae.
AAUAAGGCUUGGGGUAGCGAGUGCGGAGCGGCAAAGGCGGAAGCGGCGACGACGGAGCGGCGAAGGCAGAGGCGGUCGCGGCAAAGGCAGAGCGGCGCUGCGGACGGCCGCAGAGGAAGAAGAUGAAUAGUGAGUUCUCUUUUUUUAGCUCAGAUCCAAUAUGAUUCGGGUUAUUGGGCACGACCCGCUCCGAUAACCCAUUACGGGUCCGUCACGUGCGUCACAUGC